AGUGAACGCUGGCGGUAGGCCUAACACAUGCAAGUCGAACGGCAGCACAGUAAGAGCUUGCUCUUACGGGUGGCGAGUGGCGGACGGGUGAGGAGUACAUCGGAAUCUACUUUUUCGUGGGGGAUAACGUAGGGAAACUUACGCUAAUACCGCAUACGACCUACGGGUGAAAGCAGGGGAUCUUCGCACCUUGCGCGAUUGAAUGAGCCGAUGUCGGAUUAGCUAGUUGGCGGGGUAAAGGCCCACCAAGGCGACGAUCCGUAGCUGGUCUGAGAGGAUGAUCAGCCACACUGGAACUGAGACACGGUCCAGACUCCUACGGGAGGCAGCAGUGGGGAAUAUUGGACAAUGGGCGCAAGCCUGAUCCAGCCAUACCGCGUGGGUGAAGAAGGCCUUCGGGUUGUAAAGCCCUUUUGUUGGGAAAGAAAAGCAGCAGGUUAAUACCCCGCUGUUCUGACGGUACCCAAAGAAUAAGCACCGGCUAACUUCGUG
This 492-nucleotide ribosomal RNA is filed under the name uncultured bacterium. RNAcentral's name for it is "partial 16S ribosomal RNA". It matches the Rfam family "Bacterial small subunit ribosomal RNA", at positions 29 to 507 of the family's 1533-position model. The record is from RNAcentral.